UCCGAAUUGGUGUAGUGGCUAACAUUUGACGCUCUCAUGGUUUAUCACCGGAAUACCGUCAAGCCCGGGGUUCGAUUCCCCGAUUCGGAG
This is a non-coding RNA of Xylariaceae sp. FL0016, 90 nucleotides long. Lineage: Eukaryota; Fungi; Ascomycota; Sordariomycetes; Xylariales; Xylariaceae. The record is from the annotation of a GenBank genome assembly.